CAGCUCAGGUCGGGCGCGGUGGCUCACGCCUGUAAUCCCAGCACUUUGGGAGGCUGAGGUGGGCGGAUCAUGAGGUCAGGAGUUCGAGACCAGCCUGGUCAACACGGUGAAACCCCAUCUCUACAAAAAAUACAAAAAUUAGCCAGAUGUGGUGGCGCGUGCCUGUAAUCCCAGCUACUUGGGCAGUUGAGGCAUGAUAAUUGCUUGAACCCAGGAGGAGGAGCUUGCCGUGAGCCGAGAUCGUGCCACUGCACUCCAGCCUGGAUGACAAAGUCCGACUCCAUCUCCAAAAACAAAACAAAAGAGACAACUCAAACUAAAGCCACUUUUGAGGAAUACCUCCUUGUUAACCAAGUACAACAUAGUUACCAUAAAAACUAUCUGGCUAGAUAAUAGAGAUACUCAACUUUUGUAUCCUACCUUUCUCAGUCAACAUCAAGAACAUCUUCAUGUUGGGACCCACUCUUCUACAUUAUUUUGCAUGGUUGAGACACCACACAGUCGCAGGACAUGAAGAAAAACAAAGGCAAAAUAAAACACCAUGUCAUACUUGUUGUCACAUCCUCUCUCCACGCAGCCCUUCUGAUCAUGCCCUGGUAUGUGCUUCUGAGACUAGAUAGGCCAGCGGUGGCUCAAACACCCUGAGACAGUCCGAACUCAGCUGUGCGCCCACCCCUCUGCCUCAGCCCUUAUUCUGCCAACUCAGGAAUAGCACAGACUGCUUUGACCAGACUUAACGCAGUCACCUUGGAACACAGUGUGAGGCGGAGGCCGCGGGACAGAGUGAAACCAUGUUCUAAAAUACAGCAGAUUUUUAAAGAACAGCCAGGCAGGGUCGAAGGCAGGGAGAGGGGCUGGUCAGGAAAUGCCAGUUUAAAGUUAGCUCUGACCUAUUAAUCAGCAGUGGGACAAUGAUGCAGUGGGGGGCGGGAAAGCUGGACAUGUGCUCGCGCCAGAUUUAUGGGCCCAGAACAAAGGAUGGCCUGCUCAUUCAGAGAGUCUCUUUCCCUUUUCCUCUGGCAAAAUGAGGACAUUGUUUGAUAAGCCAAAAAGAACAAAUAUUCCAAAGACUGAGGUCAUUUCCAGAGAUGCAACCAGUCCUGAUGGGGAUCCAUACACCCUGGGGCGAAGACGAAUCCUGCAGGGGGUUCUCGGACCAGCGCAGUGGGUGCAUGUCAUGAAAGAGAAACCACAGGCCCCUCUCCUGCGCUCUCGAAGAAGCUGGGGCCACCUGCCUGAGGCCACUCUGAAGGUCUCUGAACUGCUCAGCCGAGCCCCUUGGGAUAAGUCCAGAAGCUUUUCCAUGCAGACUGAACACAUAAUCCCUGCCUCCACCUAGGCUCUGCAGGCUUUUCUGGGAAGGUCUUCCUAAGCAUGGACUGCCUAGGAUACUGUUGAUUUCAGCUUCCUCUCCAUCCAGAAGAGAGUCUUGUUUCAACAGCUGGUCUCAUGUCAUCAGAUUAGGAGAGAAGGGGAAAGUGAUUAGGAAGGAAAGAAAAGAGAAAGUGCUCAGCCAGGCAGCUGGAUUACAAAAGAAGCCAACCUCGUGGAGAGGAGAUAUUGACUCUGCUUCUCAGAAUCUUUCAGAGUUUGGGAACUAUCUGUGACUUCCCAGCCCCUCCUUUCUUGGGGUUGCCACAUUUCACCAGGCGCUGGUUGCCUUGUACCUGGCUGGACCUUCCAGAGGAGUCACCUUGACUCCUGUUUUGCUUUCCUCCAACCCAAUAUCCACACAGCCCACAGCCAAUUGGGAUGAACUUUCUCUUUUUUUUUUUUUUUUUUGAGACGGAGUCUCGCACUGGAGUGCAGUGGCGCAAUCUUGGCUCAGUGCAGCCUCCGCCUCCCAGGUUCAGGUGAUUCUCCUGCCUCAGCCUCCCAAAUAGCUGGGAUUACAGGCACCUGCCACCACUCCUGGCUAAUUUUUUGUAUUUUUAGUAGAGACGGGAUUUCACUAUGUUGGCCAGGCUGGUCUUGAACUCCUGACCAUGUGGUCCGCCCGCCUCUGCCUCCCAAAUUGCUGGGAUUACAGGCGUGAACCACCACACCCAGCCCUUGGGAUGAACUUUCUAAUCUAGAUAUCUAACCAUCUCCCUCCUGGCUAAAAAACAUUUAAUUGCUCUCUAAUGUCUUCAGAAAAGAUGUGCAGAAACCUCAGCCUGACAACAGGUCCUUCAUGUUGUGGCCACAUCUGUCUUUCCAGCUCGUGUGCCAUCUCUUCCCAGCCCUCUCUGCAGCCUUUAGACCCAUAGAAUUAUUUUCUCCUCCGUAAACAUGACGUGUCCCUCCUGGAAAAAUUCUGGCCGUUCUUUAAGACCUAAGUUCCAAUGUUAUGUCCUCUGUGGGAAUGACCUACUGUACGUUGCUAACCAACUCACACACUGGGUGUGUUCUCCACUUCUUUGCCUGGGGUCCGAUGCAUGUGUUCACUCUGCUAAUAAUAAUAAUAAUAAUAGCAUAGCACUUAUCAUAGGGCCUACACUAGUUAAUUGAGGGGUCAGUUGAAGGCAUGAAUUCAUUGAAUGACUGCCUGAAUGAAUGAAUGAUGAUCUAUUAGACAUGGUUAGCCCUAAGGCAUGUGAAGGCCUAUGCAAAUGUUUUCUGUGGGGUCCCUGUAUAUAUAAAUAAUUUGAGUUACCUAAAAUCAAUCUUUAAGCAGCAUUCUGAUCACCCAACUUCAUGUGAUACUGCAAAAGAAAUACUCUCUGGCUGGAAGUAAAGAUCCUUUCUCCCAGUAGCCCUUUUGGAAUUGGGCCUGGUCAGGGGUCCCUGAGACAAUCUCAUAGGUGUAAACCUUAGAGGUCUCCUAGGGCAUCUGGUCGACCCCCUGUACUAAGAAGCGAAUUGAAGAGCAUUCCAAAGGAGAGAAAACAGGGACAGGGGCUGACAUGGUGGAGGUUGGGCCUAGAGCACCCUGUCUGGUUGGCACUGCUGGCCUUGGCCAGUCUUGGUCACUGGAAGGGCUUAGAAGAUGUUAAGGACAGCAUUCUACAGUACAAGACCCCUUCAAGACCAGCCUGGUCAACAUGAUGAAACCCUGUAUCUACCAAAAUUACAAAAACUAGCCAGGUAUGGUGGCACACGCCUGUAAUCCCAGCUACAUGGGAGGCUGAGGCACAAGAGUCACUCAAACCUAGGAGGCAGAAGUUGCAGUGAGCCGAGAUCGUGCCACUGCACUCCAGCCUGGGUGACAAAGCAAGACUCUGUCUCAAGAAAAAAAAUUAAAUAAAUAAAUAAAGUGCAAGACACCUGAGGCCCAGGACCUAAGGCAGGUGCUCCGCUUGCCUGGGUGGUACUGCUCCCAGAUAACCAUGUGAUUAUAUACUUCAUCAUUCAACAAACAUUUACUGAGCUCCUACUAUGGACUAGGUACUGUAUUAGAAGCUGAAGUCACAUAUUCAUAGUUAUUUAUUACUAUGAGUUAACAUGUUAUCUCUGCCAAGCAGUGAACUUAAUAAUAACACAAUGAGACCUGCACAGUACAGGAGCGUAGUUAUCAUCUGGCCCAUUAGGAAACUGAGCCAGAGAGGGGCUGUCAUACAUUCCAUGAGCAUCUACCACAUGCCUACUCCUGGGUGUGGUUAGAAACGCAGCAAAGAGGUUUCUGAAAGAAAGCAAAAGACAAUCCAUUGAUUUCACUUCCAAAAAUAAACCAAAUCGUGAGGAGAGAAAGAAUAAUGACUUAAAGCCUAUUCCGAGGUUCAACAGAUGAUGGAAAUAAUGACUAAAAUCAUCCAAAUGACUUUAUACUGGGCUUUCAGUGAUGGCAGCAGCAAAGCCGGCUGCUCAAGCCUGUCAGAGUAGAGCUGUGGAGACAUGCAGCCACACAAGGGCCAGAAAGGACAAUGGCUUCAACUUCUCUCCCUGAGCCUCUAUUUCCCCAUCUGUAGACCAGCCCUUCGCAUGUUGAUCAGGACACCCAUGUGUUGUUGUGAGAUUACAAUGAUACUAAAGAUCAUGAACAACCUGUAUGCACUUAAAGCGCCUGCCCUGGGUUGCUCAGUAAUAACGAAGAGGAUGAAGGGUUAGUGUGUGGCUUUCUCUCCUAACCAAAAAAAAAAAAAAAAAAAGGGAUGGGUUUCCGCCAUGUGGUUUUUUAUGAAAGGAGAGGAAAGCAAGAGAAGAAAUACAUCUCUCCUCAGACUAACUCUGAAGCUUUCUAGGGUUAACACCCCACCAGCCUUCUCGAUUUUACCCUGUGCUCACUGUGCACUUGUAUAGACAUAUGCACACACACAAACACAAAUCCCCCCACAGCCUGACCCCUGAUCAUCCCAACCUCUAAGUCAUGAUUCUCAACCCAGUGCAAUUUUGUCCCCCACAAAACAUUUGGCAGCGUCUGGAGACAUUUUAGGUUGUCACACCUAAGGGGCAGAGAGGGCGGCUUGUUACUGGCAUUAGUAGGUAGAGGCCAGGGAUACCACUAAACAUCCUAUAAUGUCCAGGACAGUCCUUACAACAAUGAAUUAUUCAGCCAAAACACUCAAUAGUGCCGAGGUUGGAAAACUCCACUGUAAGCCUUUGUUUAUGCUGUUCCUUCUAUGAAAAGUGUUCUCUUCAUUGCUCUUCUUAUUUAAAUCCGGCCGGGUGCGAUGGCUCAUACCUGUAAUCCUAGCACUUUGGGAGGCUGAGGUGGGUGGAUCACCUCAGGUCAGGAGUUCGAGACCAGCAUGACCAACAUGGUGAAACCCCGUCUCUACUAAAAAUACAAAAAAAAAUUAGCCAGGUGUGGUGGCGGGCACCUGCAGUCCCAGCUACUCAGGAGACUGAGGCAGGAGACUUGCUUGAACCCAGGAGGCGGAGGUUGCAGUGAGAGUGAGCUGAGAUCAUGCCACUAUACUCCAGCCUAGGCAGCAAGAGCAAAACUCCAUCUCAAAAAAAAAAAAAAAAAAAAAAAAGAAAAAAAAUUCUACCCCUCCAGAGAAAGGAAAUACACCCUCACAUGCUGCUGGAGUAUAUAUAAGCCAAUAUAACCUUUUUGAUAAUUUGGCCAGAGUUAACAGAAUUAUAAACAUCCAUACCCUUGGAACAAGUCAUUUCAUUGCUCACACAAAGUCCUAUGCACAAGGAUGUUUAUUGCAGCACUGUUUGUCAUAAGAAAAGACUAAACACAACCUAACUCAUCCCUUUAGGAGGGGUCAGUAGCUUUAAAUUAUAAAGCUUGUAUACAAAACAAUUAUCUGCAAGCCUUUAAAAGGAGUGAGGUCAUUUCAAAGGGGUCAAUAGGGAAAAAUCGCUGAGAUACACUGUUGAACAAAAAUAGCAAGGUACAGGACAGCCUUAUUAAUAUGUACCAUUUGGUGAAUGAGUAAAAGGAAUAUUCAUACAUAUAUUUUUAUAAAUAUAUAUCUAGAAAAUAUCUAUAAGCCUGUAUAAAAAAAGUGUUAAUAGUGGUUGCCUUUGGGGAGAACUUGGUCAUGACAAUUAGAAGAUUUAGUUGUAAUUUUAUUAUCCUUCAGACUCUUUGAAUUUUUUAAACCAUAUUCAUGCAUUUCUUUUUGAUUGAGGAAAAAAGAUUUCAUUAAAAAACGUUUGUGCUUGCUCCAGCAGCACAUUUAUUAAAAUGAGAACAAUACAGAGAAGAUUAGCAUGGCCCCUUUGUAAGGAUGACAUGCAAAUUUGUGAAGCGUCCCAUAUUUUGGGGGCUUAAUUCCUGGGUGAUGAAGUAAUCUGUAAGACAAACCCCCAUGACAUGAGUUUACCUACAUUAACUAACUUUCAAAUGUACCCCCAAACCUAAAAUAAAACUAAAACAAAAAUAGGAAUAUAUCUUUAUCAUCUUGGAUUAGGUAAGGAUUUCUUUAAUAGUACACAAAAAGAACUAACCCUUAAAAAAUCGACAUACUGGUUUUUGUUAAAAUUGAGAACUUCUUCCAUAGAAAGAGACCAUGAACAGUAAAUGGUUGACCCACAUACUCGGAGAAGAGAUUCACAGUCCAUAAAUCCAACAAAGGUCUUGCAUUCAUAAUAUAUAAAAAUAGUCAAUAUAAUUUUUGAAAGUGAGCAAAAGACUUGAACAGACACUUUACAAAAAGGAUAUUCAAAUGGCUAACAAUCAUAUGGAAUGAUGCUCAAAAUCAUUAGUCACCAAGAAAAUGCAAAAUAAAACCAUGAUAGAAUAUCUCUCCUCUCCUGCCAGAAUAGCUAAAAUUAAAAAGGCUAAAAGUACCCUCUAUAUUCAUUUCUCAUACAUUGCUGGUAGAAAAAUAAAAAGGUACAACUACUUUGAAAGUUCUUUGACAGCAUCUACAAAAGCUGAACCUUCCAACCUUACCUCUAUAAACCUUCCCUGAUUUACACAGGUUUUCCUUCUGAUAACCCCUCUAAUCUAUGUAUGUGUUUGCUACCGUUUAAAAUCUGCUGUAAAUUCCCAAACUUUCAUUGUUCUAUUUAACUGGGAUUUGCUGAGCACUUACUCUAAAUCAGACACUUGGGAAUCUUACUGGGAUUAAAGAGAGGACCUAUUUUAUAGAUCCUUUCCUGCGGAAGCUCGUAGACCAGAUGGAGUUGAAGAUAUACAUACAAAAUAAGAGAUAGGCUGGGCACGGUGGCUCACGCCUGUAAUCCCAACACUUCGGGAGACCGAGGCAUGUGGAUCACCUGAGGUCAGGAGUUCAAGACCAGACUGGCCAACAUGGUGAAACCCUGUCUCUACUAAGAACACAGAAAUUAUCUGGGUUUGGUGGCGGGUGCCUGUAAUCCCAGCUACUCAGGAGGCUGAGGCAGGAGAAUCACUUGAACCUGGGAGCGAGGGGUUUCAGUGAGCCAAGAUCGCACCACUGCACUCCAGCCUGGGCGACAGAGCAACACUCCGUCUCAAAAAAAUCAAAAAAAAAAACAACAAAACACUAAGAGACAAACACCUCUUUAAACUAACCUUCUCUUCCAAACUAACUUCUACUUUUCGAUCCCUGUGGCACACUUCUUUCAUAUUCUCACAGUGCCUGAAUCUACAAUGACCCAAAGUAGAAACUGAGUAAAACUCUGUUGAACCAAUCCAGUUGAUGUAUAUUCACAGAUAGCAAGAAAGAUUUGGGCUAGGUGAAAAGAAUAGAUUUUGGUCACUGACAGCUUCAGUAAGGCUUAUUUAAAACCUAGCCCCACACUGACCAAAAUUUUGUAUCUAUUAGCUAAUUCCAUUCUCACAGCAACCUGUGGAGCAGGUGCUAUUAUCGCCAUUUGGCAGAUGAGAAGCUUGAGGUCAAGACAGAUUAUGUUAUUUGAAGACAGAUUAUGUUAUUUGCCAAGGUCAUAUGCUCAGGAACUAGCAAGGCUGGGAACCAAACUCCAGCCAAACUCUCAUUUUAAAUUUUGGUUCUUGCUACUACAUCACAUGCAUCAGAAACAGCCUAAUACCACUCCAGAGAGGCGUGAAUCUAAAUUUCUCUCUGGCUUUGGAUUUUUACAGGUGUUUUUAUUCCCCUGAAAUACUUGUGCAGCCCCAUAUUUUAUUCUCUUCUCCUGUCCUCCCUUCUCAUGGGCAGCACCUCUUCCUCCUUCUUUAAAUCUCUG
Molecule: long non-coding RNA, 7509 nt
Filed under: Homo sapiens (human)
Lineage: Eukaryota; Metazoa; Chordata; Mammalia; Primates; Hominidae
Source: RNAcentral